RNAcentral lists this ribosomal RNA (1241 nucleotides) under metagenome. RNAcentral's name for it is "bacterial LSU rRNA". It matches the Rfam family "Bacterial large subunit ribosomal RNA", at positions 1564 to 2814 of the family's 2925-position model. The record is from RNAcentral.
UGAAUACGAGACGCUAAGGCGUCGAAGUAGUGUAUGUCAUACUUCCAAGAAAAGCUUGCACUGUCAUAGAUAAAAAACGCCUGUACCAUAACCGACACAGGUGGGUAGGUAGAGUAUACUAAGGGGCGCGAGAUAACUCUCUCUAAGGAACUCGGCAAAAUGACUCCGUAACUUCGGGAGAAGGAGUGCCUUAUUCUUAAGGUUGCAAUAACAAGAUCCAAGCAACUGUUUAUCAAAAACACAGGUCUCCGCUAAGUCGUAAGACGAUGUAUGGGGGCUGACGCCUGCCCAGUGCCAGAAGGUUAAAGAAGUUGGUUAGCAUUUGCGAAGCUGAUAACUGAAGCCCUGGUGAACGGCGGCCGUAACAAUAACGGUCCUAAGGUAGCGAAAUUCCUUGUCGGGUAAGUUCCGACCCGCACGAAAGGCGUAAUGAUUUGGAUACUGUCUCGGAGAGGGGCUCGGUGAAAUAGACUUGUCUGUGAAGAUGCGGACUACCUGCACCAGGACAGAAAGACCCUAUGAAGCUUUACUGUAACUUGAAAUUGAAAUUGGACUUUAUUCGCGCAGUAUAGGUGGGAGGCGUUGAUUAUAAUCUUGCGGGAUUAUUGGAGCCAUCAGUGAGAUACCACCCUUGUAAUGUUAGAUUUCUAACUUUGAAUCAUUAUCUGGUCAAAGAACAGUUUCAGGCGGGCAGUUUGACUGGGGCGGUCGCCUCCUAAACGGUAACGGAGGCGUACAAAGGUUUCCUCUGAACGGUUAGAAAUCGUAUCUAGAGUGUAAAGGCAUAAGGAAGCUUGACUGUGAGACCUACAAGUCGAGCAGGGACGAAAGUCGGUCUUAGUGAUCUGACGGUACUGAGUGGAAAGGCCGACACUCAACGGAUAAAAGUUACUCUAAGGAUAACAGGCUGAUCUCCCCCAAGAGUUCACAUCGACGGGGAGGUUUGGCACCUCGAUGUCGGCUCAUCGCAUCCUGGGGCGGUAGUACGUCCCAAGGGUUGGGCUGUUCGCCCAUGAAAGCGGUACGCGAGCUGGGUUCAGAACGUCGUGAGACAGUUCGGUCCAUAUCCGGUGUAGGCGUUAGAAUAUUGAGAGGAGCCUUCUUUAGUACGAGAGGACCGAGAAGGACAUACCUCUGGUGUACCAGUUAUCGUGCCAACGGUAAACGCUGGGUAGCUAUGUAUGGAGUGGAUAACCGCUGAAAGCAUCUAAGUGGGAAGCCCACCUCAAGAUAAGUAUUCU